AGCGAACGCUGGCGGCAGGCCUAACACAUGCAAGUCGAACGAACCUUUCGGGGUUAGUGGCGGACGGGUGAGUAACACGUGGGAACGUGCCUUUAGGUUCGGCAUAACUCAGGGAAACUUGUGCUAAUACCGAAUGUGCCCUUCGGGGGAAAGAUUUAUCGCCUUUAGAGCGGCCCGCGUCUGAUUAGCUAGUUGGUUGAGGUAAUGGCUCACCAAGGCGACGAUCAGUAGCUGGUCUGAGAGGAUGAUCAGCCACAUUGGGACUGAGACACGGCCCAAACUCCUACGGGAGGCAGCAGUGGGGGAUCGUGCGCAAUGGGCGAAGGCCUGACGCAGCCAUGCCGCGUGAAUGAUGAAGGUCUUAGGAUUGUAAAAUUCUUUCACCGGGGACGAUAAUGACGGUACCCGGAGAAGAAGCCCCGGCUAACUUCGUG
This 434-nucleotide ribosomal RNA is filed under the name uncultured bacterium. RNAcentral's name for it is "partial 16S ribosomal RNA". It matches the Rfam family "Bacterial small subunit ribosomal RNA", at positions 29 to 507 of the family's 1533-position model. The record is from RNAcentral.